Molecule: transfer RNA, 72 nt
Filed under: Medicago truncatula (barrel medic)
Lineage: Eukaryota; Viridiplantae; Streptophyta; Magnoliopsida; Fabales; Fabaceae
Description: tRNA-OTHER
Source: RNAcentral
GUAAUCUUAGCUCAAUUGGUAGGAUAUUACAUAUUAUAUGCAGAGGCCAGGGUUCGAACCCCAGACACUCCA